Molecule: ribosomal RNA, 162 nt
Filed under: Triticum aestivum (bread wheat)
Lineage: Eukaryota; Viridiplantae; Streptophyta; Magnoliopsida; Poales; Poaceae
Description: partial small subunit ribosomal RNA
Source: RNAcentral
AUGGUUUUCAAACUAGACUUCAGGAAAGCUUUCGACUCGGUCGCUUGGCCUGCUCUGGACAAAAUCCUCCUCGCCCGGGGCUUCUCACACACCUUCCACAGCUGGAUCCAGAAUAUCCUAGUGACAGGCAAAACCGCCAUUCUUUUGAAUGGCAUCCCAGGC